RNAcentral lists this ribosomal RNA (516 nucleotides) under Segatella copri. Its description in RNAcentral is "partial 23S ribosomal RNA". It matches the Rfam family "Bacterial large subunit ribosomal RNA", at positions 1 to 521 of the family's 2925-position model. Lineage: Bacteria; Pseudomonadati; Bacteroidota; Bacteroidia; Bacteroidales; Prevotellaceae. The record is from RNAcentral.
AAGAAAGUAAGAAAGGGCGUAUGGCGGAUGCCUAGGCUCACGGAGGCGAUGAAGGACGUGAUAAGCUGCGAUAAGCUUCGGGUAGGUGCAAAUAACCUUUGAUCCGAAGAUUUCCGAAUGGGACAACCUAGCCGUCUGAAGGACGGUUACUCUUACCUUGGGUAAGAGAGCUAACGCAGGGAACUGAAACAUCUUAGUACCUGCAGGAAGAGAAAAUAAAUUAAUGAUUCCCCCAGUAGUGGCGAGCGAACGGGGAACAGCCCAAACCGUUGACGUCGCAAGGCGCCAGCGGGGUUGUAGGACCGCGACAUUGUAUGCAAAUCGUGAACAGAACACUUUGGAAAAUGUGACCAUAGACGGUGAUAGUCCAGUAUGUGAAGCGAAAUGCAGCAUAGCGGUAUCCUGAGUAACGCGGGACACGAGGAAUCCUGCGCGAAUCUGCCGGGACCAUCCGGUAAGGCUAAAUACUCCCGUGAGACCGAUAGCGAACGAGUACUGUGAAGGAAAGGUGAAAAG